This 253-nucleotide ribosomal RNA is filed under the name uncultured bacterium. Its description in RNAcentral is "partial 16S ribosomal RNA". It matches the Rfam family "Bacterial small subunit ribosomal RNA", at positions 524 to 776 of the family's 1533-position model. The record is from RNAcentral.
GACAGAGGGUGCAAACGUUGUUCGGAAUUACUGGGCGUAAAGCGCUUGUAGGCGGCUAAGCAAGUCGGGCGUGAAAUCCCACGGCUCAACCGUGGAAGUGCACUCGAAACUGCAUAGCUAGAGUCCUGGAGAGGAAGGUGGAAUGCUUGGUGUAGAGGUGAAAUUCGUAGAUAUCAAGCGGAACACCGGUGGCGAAGGCGGCCUUCUGGACAGUGACUGACGCUGAGACGCGAAAGCGUGGGGAGCAAACAGG